CGGUCCAGACUCCUACGGGAGGCAGCAGUAGGGAAUCUUCCGCAAUGGGCGAAAGCCUGACGGAGCAACGCCGCGUGAGUGAUGAAGGUCUUCGGAUCGUAAAACUCUGUUGUUAGGGAAGAACAAAUUUGUUAGUAACUGAACAAGUCUUGACGGUACCUAACCAGAAAGCCACGGCUAA
RNAcentral lists this ribosomal RNA (181 nucleotides) under Mammaliicoccus sciuri. Its description in RNAcentral is "Staphylococcus sciuri partial 16S ribosomal RNA". It matches the Rfam family "Bacterial small subunit ribosomal RNA", at positions 327 to 500 of the family's 1533-position model. Lineage: Bacteria; Bacillati; Bacillota; Bacilli; Caryophanales; Staphylococcaceae. The record is from RNAcentral.